AGAAGUCGCGCCGGGAGAGAUCGGCCGCUUCCGGAAAGGAAGCAGGCCGGCGCCGAAGGAGCAACCGCCCCGGAAACUCUCAGGCAAACGGACCGCGCGACGUGU
This 105-nucleotide non-coding RNA is filed under the name Nitrobacter sp. RNAcentral describes it as "Glycine sequence". It matches the Rfam family "Glycine riboswitch aptamer". Rfam says of the family: This family represents the bacterial glycine riboswitch. Glycine riboswitches usually consist of two metabolite-binding aptamers domains with similar structures in tandem. The aptamers cooperatively bind glycine to regulate the expression of downstream genes. Lineage: Bacteria; Pseudomonadati; Pseudomonadota; Alphaproteobacteria; Hyphomicrobiales; Nitrobacteraceae. The record is from RNAcentral.